GACGAACCGAGCGAACGUUGUUCGGAAUCACUGGGCUUAAAGGGCGCGUAGGCGGCUUGGUAAGUCAGGGGUGAAAUCUUUCGGCUCAACCGGAAAAGUGCCUUUGAUACUGCCAGGCUUGAGGGAGAUAGGGGCGUGUGGAACUUCCAGUGGAGCGGUGAAAUGCGUUGAUAUUGGAAGGAACGCCGGUGGCGAAAGCGACACGCUGGGUCUCUUCUGACGCUGAGGCGCGAAAGCUAGGGGAGCGAACGGGAUUAGAUACCCCCGUAGUCC
This 273-nucleotide ribosomal RNA is filed under the name uncultured bacterium. Its description in RNAcentral is "partial 16S ribosomal RNA". It matches the Rfam family "Bacterial small subunit ribosomal RNA", at positions 524 to 796 of the family's 1533-position model. The record is from RNAcentral.